CCUACGGGGAGCAGCAGUCGAGAAUCAUUCACAAUGGGGGAAACCCUGAUGGUGCGACGCCGCGUGGGGGAAUGAAGGUCUUCGGAUUUUAAACCCCUGUCAUGUGGGAGCAAAUUAAAAAGAUAGUACCACAAGAGGAAGAGACGGCUAACUCUGUGCCAGCAGCCGCGGUAAUACAGAGGUCUCAAGCGUUGUUCGGAAUCACUGGGCGUAAAGCGUGCGUAGGCUGUUUCGUAAGUCGUGUGUGAAAGGCGCGGGCUCAACCCGCGGACGGCACAUGUUACUGCGAGACUAGAGUAAUGGAGGGGGAACCGGAAUUCUCGGUGUAGCAGUGAAAUGCGUAGAUAUCGAGAGGAACACUCGUGGCGAAGGCGGGUUCCUGGACAUUAACUGACGCUGAGGCACGAAGGCCAGGGGAGCGAAAGGGAUUAGAUACCCCUGUAGUC
RNAcentral lists this ribosomal RNA (446 nucleotides) under uncultured bacterium. RNAcentral's name for it is "partial 16S ribosomal RNA". It matches the Rfam family "Bacterial small subunit ribosomal RNA", at positions 338 to 795 of the family's 1533-position model. The record is from RNAcentral.